This 706-nucleotide ribosomal RNA is filed under the name uncultured bacterium. RNAcentral describes it as "bacterial SSU rRNA". It matches the Rfam family "Bacterial small subunit ribosomal RNA", at positions 8 to 716 of the family's 1533-position model. The record is from RNAcentral.
AGAGUUUGAUCAUGGCUCAGAUUGAACGCUGGCGGCAAGCCUCAUACAUGCAAGUCGAACGAGAAAGCAUCUUCGGAUGUGAUUAAAGUGGCGGACGGGUGAGUAAUACAUAGGAAUCUACCCAAUGGCGGGGGACAGCUCGAGGAAACUCGAAUUAAUACCGCAUAAUCUCUACGGAGUAAAGAGGGCUUCGGCUCUCACCAUCGGAUGAGCCUAUGCAAGAUUAGCUUGUUGGUAAGGUAAUGGCUUACCAAGGCAACGAUCUUUAGCUGGUUUGAGAGGAUGACCAGCCACAUCGGGACUGAGACACGGCCCGGACUUCUACGGAAGGCAGCAGUAGGGAAUAUUGGACAAUGAGCGAAAGCUUGAUCCAGCUAUGCCGCGUGUGCGAUGACGGCCCUCGGGUUGUAAAGCACUUUAGGUAACGAGGAAAAGUUAGGUGUUAAUACCACCUAACCAUGACGUUAAUUACAGAAUAAGCACCGGCUAAAUCCGUGCCAGCAGCCGCGGUAAUACGGAUGGUGCAAGCGUUAAUCGGAAUUACUGGGCGUAAAGCGCGCGUAGGUGGCAUACUAAGUUAGAUGUGAAAUCCCGGGGCUUAACCUCGGAACUGCAUCUAAAACUGGUAAGCUAGAGUACUAGAGAGGAAAGUAGAAUUCUUAGUGUAGCGGUGGAAUGCGUAGAUAUUAAGAGGAAUACCAAUGGC